AGUGAAUUUCAGGACAGGCUCCAA
RNAcentral lists this non-coding RNA (24 nucleotides) under Cricetulus griseus (Chinese hamster). The record is from RNAcentral. Lineage: Eukaryota; Metazoa; Chordata; Mammalia; Rodentia; Cricetidae.